GGGGAUGUAGCUCAGAGGUAGAGCGUUCGCUUUGCAGUUUUCUCACUAAAAAUGCGAAAAGCCCGGGGAUCGAGACCCCGCUUCUCCA
This is a non-coding RNA of Coemansia sp. S85, 88 nucleotides long. Lineage: Eukaryota; Fungi; Kickxellomycota; Kickxellomycetes; Kickxellales; Kickxellaceae. The record is from the annotation of a GenBank genome assembly.